UACAGAGGUCUCAAGCGUUGUUCGGAUUCACUGGGCGUAAAGCGCACGUAGGCGGAUGUGUCAGUCAGGGGUGAAAUCCCGGGGCUCAACCUCGGAACUGCCUUUGAUACAGCACGUCUCGAGUCCGGAAGAGGUGGGUGGAAUUCCUAGUGUAGAGGUGAAAUUCGUAGAUAUUAGGAAGAACACCGGUGGCGAAGGCGGCCCACUGGUCCGGUACUGACGCUGAGGUGCGAAAGCGUGGGGAGCAAACAGG
RNAcentral lists this ribosomal RNA (253 nucleotides) under uncultured bacterium. RNAcentral's name for it is "partial 16S ribosomal RNA". It matches the Rfam family "Bacterial small subunit ribosomal RNA", at positions 524 to 776 of the family's 1533-position model. The record is from RNAcentral.